This 497-nucleotide ribosomal RNA is filed under the name uncultured bacterium. RNAcentral describes it as "partial 16S ribosomal RNA". It matches the Rfam family "Bacterial small subunit ribosomal RNA", at positions 28 to 507 of the family's 1533-position model. The record is from RNAcentral.
GAUGAACGCUGGCGGCGUGCCUAAUACAUGCAAGUCGAGCGAACAGACGAGGAGCUUGCUCCUCUGACGUUAGCGGCGGACGGGUGAGUAACACGUGGAUAACCUACCUAUAAGACUGGUAUAACUUCGGGAAACCGGAGCUAAUACCGGAUAAUAUAUUGAACCGCAUGGUUCAAUAGUGAAAGACGGUUUUGCUGUCACUUAUAGAUGGAUCCGCGCCGCAUUAGCUAGUUGGUAAGGUAACGGCUUACCAAGGCGACGAUGCGUAGCCGAGCUGAGAGGGGGGUAGGCCACACUGGAACUGAGACACGGUCAAGACUCCUACGGGAGGCAGCAGUAGGGAAUCUUCCGCAAUGGGCGAAAGCCUGACGGAGCAACGCCGCGUGAGUGAUGAAGGUCUUCGGAUCGUAAAACUCUGUUAUUAGGUAAGAACAAAUGUGUAAGUAAAUAUGCACGUCUUGACGGUACCUAAUCAGAAAGCCACGGCUAACUACGUG